AAUCUUCCGCAAUGGACGCAAGUCUGACGGAGCAACGCCGCGUGAGUGAUGAAUGUUUUCGGAUCGUAAAGCUCUGUUGCCAGGGAUGAAUAGUCUUGGGUGUAACUGCCCAAGCUGUUACUUUACCUUUGCAGAAAGCCCCGGCUACCUACGUCCCAGCAGCCGCGGUAAUACGUCGGGGGCAAGCGUUGUCCGGAAUUUUUGGGCGUAAAGGGCACGCAGGCGGUGGUUUAAGUUUGGUGUUUAAUCCAAGGGCUCAACCCUGGCACGCACUGGAGACUGGAUCAGUUGAGUGCAGAAGAGGAGAGUGGAAUUCCACGUGUAGCGGUGAAAUGCGUAGAGAUGUGGAGGAACACCAGUGGCGAAGGCGACUCUCUGGUCUGUAACUGACGCUGAGGUGCGAAAGCGUGGGUAGCAAACA
Molecule: ribosomal RNA, 421 nt
Filed under: uncultured bacterium
Lineage: Bacteria
Description: partial 16S ribosomal RNA
Rfam family: Bacterial small subunit ribosomal RNA
Source: RNAcentral